AUGGGGGCUACGGCAUUUGACGAGCAGAAGGACGCGGCGACGUCGGCCGAUGACGAAGCUUUUACGAGGCCCAGCGGCUUCGCCUCCUUCGCCGACAAGCUCCGAGGCGACCUGGACAAGAUCGCGGCGGACGCGAUCGACAAGGACGUCCUGCAUGCCCUCGCGGAGCUCAGCGAGGCCGUCGGCAAGAUGGCAACAACGGUGGCCGGGGCCGGCGAGCACGUCUUGUACCACUUGAACUCUGUAGCCACGGGCGACCUCACCCUCGAGAUCGACGAGACCAUCGAGUUGAUCGGAGUGGCGGCCGCGGCAGGCGAAGCAGACUGGGUGAUGGAGACCACGCGGUUGCUCAUGGAGAGCAUCGAGGACAUCACCCGCCACCUCACGGAGGCCAUCGAGGAAGAGAAAGCAGCGACGGGCGUGGCCUGCGGCGAUGCUUCCUUGGAUGCUCAGGUUCAGCAGAAGAUGUACGAGGAGCAAGAGGAGGCCUUCAUGGACGAACUCGACUACCGCGACAUGGUCUUGGAUGUUGACAAGGCCUUGGAUGAUUUGCGUCUGGAAGCGGCCGGCUGCAGCGGCGGUGACCGUGCACCAACGACAGGGUUUCUUGGUCGAUAUGAUUUUUUCACACUGCAAGAUUUCUUGAAGUUGGUUGAUUGA
Molecule: ribosomal RNA, 660 nt
Filed under: Triticum aestivum (bread wheat)
Lineage: Eukaryota; Viridiplantae; Streptophyta; Magnoliopsida; Poales; Poaceae
Description: partial small subunit ribosomal RNA
Source: RNAcentral